CGGUUGAUCCUGCCGGACCCCACUGCUAUCGGGAUAGGACUAAGACAUGCUAGUCGAGCGCCUCCCAAGCUAUUGGAGGCGCGGCGCACAGCUCAGUAACACGUGGCUAACCCGCCCUUGGGACGGGACAACCCCCGGGAAACUGGGGGUAUGUCCCGUUAGGUGAAAAACUCUGGAAUGAUUUUUCGCCCAAAAGACGCCUACGCCAUGCUCGUAGGCGUCGCCCAAGGAUGGGGCCGCGUCCGAUCAGGUUGUUGGUGAGGUAACGGCUCACCAAGCCUUUUACCGGUGCGGGCCGUGGGAGCGGGAGCCCGGAGAUGGGCACUGAGACAAGGGCCCAGGCCCUACGGGGCGCAGCAGUCGCGAAAACUUUGCAAUACACGAAAGUGUGACAGGGCUAUCCCGAGUGCCAUCCGCUGAGGAAGGCUUUUACCCAGUGUAGAAAGCUGGGAGAAUAAGGAGAGGGCAAGACUGGUGUCAGCCGCCGCGGUAAUACCAGCUCUCCGAGUGGUGUGGAUGUUUAUUGGGCCUAAAGCAUCCGUAGCUGGCUGGGCAAGUCCCCUGUUAAAUCCACCGAUUUAAUCGUUGGAGUGCGGGGGAUACUGUUCGGCUAGGGGACGGGAGAGGCCGACGGUAUUUCCGGGGUAGGGUGAAAUCCUAUAAUCCCGGGAAGACCACCAGUGGCGAAGGCUGUCGGCUAGAACGCGCCCGACGGUGAGGGAUGAAAGCUGGGAGAGCGAACCGGAUUAGAUACCCGGGUAGUCCCAGCUGUAAACGAUGCAGGCUAGGUGUUUGGGCGGCCACGUGCCGCUCUAGUGCCGCAAGGAAGCUGUUAAGCCUGCCGCCUGGGGAGUACGGCCGCAAGGCUGAAACUUAAAGGAAUUGGCGGGGGAGCAC
Molecule: ribosomal RNA, 897 nt
Filed under: uncultured archaeon
Lineage: Archaea
Description: bacterial SSU rRNA
Rfam family: Archaeal small subunit ribosomal RNA
Source: RNAcentral